Molecule: long non-coding RNA, 2418 nt
Organism: Andrographis paniculata
Lineage: Eukaryota; Viridiplantae; Streptophyta; Magnoliopsida; Lamiales; Acanthaceae
Exons: 3
Source: RefSeq, a predicted model, not a curated record
CGAUAAGCCCACGGAUCAGCCUACUGGCACCGGAGCUGCUUCAAAAGAUAAAUUUAAGCAAAAUGAUGAACACGAACAACGAACAAAGGAAGGAAGGAAGGAGAGAGGCUCAUAUCAAGUGUAGAUUGGGAAAAGACCAGGUGUUCGAAGAAUGUUCCCUCCCUUGAAUGAUACCCACCUGGAAUUUAGAGGCAAAGGAGGCUAAAUAUAAAUAUGCGCCUUCAAUCAUGCACAAGAAAUGGUGGUAUGUUUUAUAUUCUUACUUGUACUUUGUUACGAGGCAAUGAAGAAAUACAGCCAUUUGCAACUUUGUGAAAUCUGUUCCAACACAAAACCUCAUGCCUCCUCCAAAGGCCAUGAAGUUUCUUGAUGCACCGUGUGUAUUUAUUCCCUUCAGUAUGCAUCCGUAUUUCAAUUAAGUCAUUGGAGUAUUUUCACACACACACACACACACACACACACACACAUACACAUCGUGUAUGGAAAACUUACCUCCCAUCUCCAUGGAUUGAAGUCGAGGGGAUCUUUAUAUUUGGUGCUGUUUAGGUGCACAGCUGGAGGACAUACCAUGACAGCCCAACCAGCAGGAAUUGUGUACCCUGCAUUGUAAGGUAUAAAAUCAUCUUAGUUUAGUGAAACAGUAGCAAAAGAAACUUGAUAAGAUUUGAGGUUUGAAACCACACCUUUGAAUUUGGUUUCUUGCAGUGUUUUUCUGAAAAUCCCUGGUACUAUAUUGGCCAAUCUGACUGUUUCAUUGAUAACCUGCAUAAUAAUCUUACUAGUGAACUUCAUUGUUGCAAAACACUCGCCAAAAUCCUUAGAAGAUAUAGAUGUUUAUAGCUCACCUGAAAUGUGAAUUUCAUUGAUUUGUAUUCAUUCCAUGUCAAUCCAGACUCUGAACUUUCCCUCCUUUGAAUAAUUGUGUUGUGCUCUUCCUGGAGCAAAUGUAAACAUGUUAGGUUGAAUACAACACCAAGGGUCAAUCUUAGUUGAUUCAUAGAGAGUACUCAUAUUUGCUUACUUACCAUAAGUUCUUUCAAAACCAGUGGAUGAUCUAGCAGAAACUUAACUGCUAAAGUGAUUGCUAAUGAGGUUGUCUCAAAGCUUGCAAAGAGCAAUACGAACAUUAAGUCAAGAGCUAUUGGCUCUGUGAGAACUGUAUCUUCACGCUGAAGUUCUUCCAAGACAUAAUCAAAGAAAUCACUCUGGAUUUUCCUUGGGCUUUUCCGCCUUUCUUGUAGCAUGGUUUUCAGCAUAUUCAUUGCCUUCUUUCUACCCUGCAGGUCAAAGAUAGUAGUGAGAUUGCUUCAUGUUAUGGUGGUUUUGUCAUUUAUAUGGAAAUAUUACCAAAUAUAGACAAAAUACCUGUAAGCAUUUGUGGUAGGCUGUUCCUGGAAUGUUCAAAGGAAAGGAGAUCAAACCAUUUAUGAAAGCAACAAAAUUCUCCCUUAGAUUUCCAGUUGAUGUUUUUGCAUCAUAGCUGAUUAGCUUUUUUGCAGUCAGGUCAAAUAUCAUCUGUGCAGUUGCUUCCUUCAUAUCAAUCACAUUCUGGUGAGACCAUCUUUCCAGGCUUUUCAUCGAUGCUUUCUCAACCUCUGGAAGCAUCUUUUUAAGGCUUUCAGGGCCAAAGAGAUUCAGCACCAUAUUCUUAAGGUACUUGUACAUUAAACCAUGCUGAGAACCCACAUUCUGCCUGCCAAAUAUUUCAGUGAAGGUCUCAGGAUACCAGCUCUGGAACAGCUUUCCCUCUUGCUGGAAGAUGUAAUAAUUAAGAUCUGCAUCUGUUGAUACAAUAACAGGCCGUCCCACCAAACUAGUCUUGAAUAUCGAUCCAUAUCUGAGAAGUUCGCAGAUAGGCAAAUUAUAUACAUGUGUGUGUGUGUGUGAUUAGAAAGAUGAAAAUGGUUAUUUGACAGAAGGAUUGCCUGUGAGAUUACCUUUGCAUUCUCUCCUUUACGAACGGAGGAAUGUCGGAAGAAGUGUUGGGAGCAAAGAACUGAAGUGUCUCUCCAACAAGUGGCCAUCCCAUUGAACCUGGUGGGAGGACCCCAUUGCACCUUGGAUUCUUCCAUUUGUAAAUCCAGUUGAAAAUGGCUACCAGCAGUAAAGUUCCAAUGUAGAAAAGUGGUUUUUGUAGGAAAUGAGAAACUCAAGAGGAAAGAGGAGACAGUGCUGCAUAGAAGCUGCUGGUCUGAUACCCUCGCAGACAACUGCUUAUAUAGAUAGACAGGCAAGAAUCUGCAACUACUUUAGUUGACAAUUUUUUGUUAAGUUAGUUGUACACAAAAGGUGCAAAUAACCAAUUGAAUAAUUCUGUCUCCUGUGCCCCCCUUGAUCCUUCGUCAACACUUAAUAAAAUAUUUGUAGAAAUUGAGCAUGAUUAAUGAAGGCCACAGGAUGCUUUCUCCCCUUCAUGUA